UAGCGAAAAGUUGACGAAAGGGGAGAGUAACUUUUCCUCUUCGCUCGCUCUCUCCCUCUCUCUCUCCGAGUGGCUCUCAGUCCUGGUCAAAUCAUAUUCCGGGCUUUUGAAAUAGUGGGCGCUAGAGCACCGCCUUUGGCGUCCGCCAGCCGGGCUCAGAGGAGGGAGACCCUGAGCCGGGGAGGGGGCGGAGGAGGGGGCGCGGGCCGGCGCCCACCCGGCUCCCCGGGAGCAAGGGCAGGACGGCCGCAGCCGCUGGGGAAGCAACAUGGAGACUUUUUCCUGCGCUCGAAACUGUGCUCUUGAAGUUUAUUCCCAAGUGGUGCCCCGCGUGGUGGCCGGCGCUCCUCUGUGAUCCUCGCGAUUCGCUCCGGCCGCCCGGUGCCGGCGCCUCCGGCAGCGGGGUCCUCACUGGCCGCUUUGCUACCCGCCGCCCUGCCUCGCUUGGCCUCGCUCCGACCCUCUCGCACAUGCUGUCCCCGGCACCCGCGAGCCCCAGAGGGACCAAUGUCCCGGCGAGGCUACCCGGGCCCGGGGCUUACUUUCUCUUUCGCGCCGCCUCGAGCCGUGCCUGGGGCUGUGCGCUCAGCCAGCAGCGGGCUGGUCCCCACCGCAGCCCGCCGGCUCCUGCCGUCCGCACUAUGGCCACCGUGUCUCGCAGCCGCCCAGCGCGCCCUCCCGUCCCAGUGCCGGCGCCAUCCGCAGGAGUCGGGCCCGGGGCUUCGUCCCUUGCAGCCAGCAGGUGGGGACCCGCUGCAGGGCGGCCGGGGGAAGCGCGGCUCGAACAGCUCGGGCCACGGUCCGGCUCCAGCGAAGCGUUGAGCGCUGUACGGAGAGGAUCCGAGUCGCUCGCCCCCGCCGCCCCCUCCUCUACCACGGGCCGGCUCCAGGUCCCUGCCUGAUCACCAGGCCGUUCGGUCUGCGCCUCCGGGGCAGGAUCCUGCCUGGCCCGGCCUCGCGGCUUCCAGAGCCGAACUCUUAAAGAGCGUGAGUCCAGCGAGCCGGUGUGGGAUCCGCGAUAGUUUUCCGAAAAAGCCAGGCACUUUGAGCUCCGGACCCUACGGAACUUGGCCCCACGGCGGCCCGGCUGUCUUAGGCCGCGCGCCCACUCUGCAGGGAAAAGCAACUUCCAGCCUCCGCCAAGCUUCCCUGAGCUCCGCCGUUGGAGUUCGUGGCCCCUCGGUUAAGAGCCCCUUUCCUGCCGAGCUCCCUGGCCAGCUGCCCUUGACCUCGGCCUUCUGGGCCACCCAUGACCUCUGACCCCUCUUGGUGCGAACAGUGCCAGUAGGUUCCCAGCGGAUGCGAAGGGGUUGUGUGCGUGUUGGGUGACUCUCCACGACGCGUGGAACGGGUGUGCAGUGUACUGUUAGAGUCCGGUGUGUACCGUGAGCCUUUGGGAGUCUCGACCCCCUGGCUGCAGGUUGGAUGGUCAGGCUCUCGCUGAGGAAAGACCAAAGCUUGAAGGAGAGAGACGUAAAGUGACUGCGCUCUUUUUGUUGCCGCCGCCUUCGCUGCAAGCGAGAGACUGGCUCAGCGCACCCAGCGCGGCCCCGGAAACUUCCCAGAGGCCCACACCCGCUCGGCGCCCUGCUGGGCCUCCUGCUCUCCCUCCACCAGGUGGGGAAGGUCACUUGGCUCCGGCCCUAUGUAGGGCCAGAACGGGCGUCCAGCGACGAUCUUGAGGCCUUCUCUGGAGGCCAAGAACCGAAGGACACAACCGGUGGGAGUCCACAGUUCAGGGCGUUCUUGGAAACAACCCACAGGAGCUUGCCCGACAGACCCAGGGUCUCCACUUGAGUGUCAACCUGGAGACCUGGUUUCAGGCUGUGUGACUGUUACUGCUACUACCAAAACCCCUUCAAGAAGAGGGCGAGGCGGCUCAGGAUGGAAGACGGCCCAGGGCUUACUGAAGACUUUCUUAUUUCUUUAGACAGCAUUUUAAGGGACUGUGGAAGGCUCCUGGGAACCUGACUCAAUUACCUGAAGCAAGAGUGACCAGCAGCCAGCCCAGAAGCCUCCUAACUGGCUGACAGGGUCAGGGGAUAGAAGAAGGAGCAAGGUCAUGGUGGUUCAGGGUUUUGUUCUGCCCUCAUACUACUCGGGCCCCUGAGCUGUGACUGAGAUGUCCUGAGGACAGAAGGACAGAUGGGCCAAUGGAUGUAACGGCAGGACACAGGGCUUGGGUGUGAGGUUGUCCCAGGGGUGUGCAUUUUGAGGUAUAAUUUCGUUUGUAUUUCCUGGUGCUCCUACUCCAGACCUCUGUCUGCAUGGCUUGUUUAAGCUGGACCUUUCAGUUGGCCCUUUUGGUAGAAUUAGGGGCCCAGAGUAGAUCCUUCUGUUGAGCUUCCUAAGGACAGAAAUCUCUGAAGCUCCCCAGUGAGGACUGUGAUUCAGUUGGUGGGAAGUUUAGCUAAGCCUGAGCCUGGGCAAAGUGAAGAUGGUUCAGAUCAGGGGUCCCCUUACUCAACCUGGGCCAGUGCUGGCCAGUAAGGACCUGAAGCUGUCUUGACCCCAUAUUUUAGAACGAAAAAUUUAACAAUAGCGUAUUGUUCCAACACUGGUGUGAGCCAGGUGGGCAGUUGGGGGCUUGGUUGGUGCUGCUGCUCUUCCUAUCUCCAGGAACUACACAGCACAGCUAGGAUCCCCACUAGAGCCACCCUAGAGACCUGAUUUCUAUCGAGGUGACAGACCCGGUGGUCCCAAAUACCACACAUCCCACCCUCCUAGGUGUGGGACUUUGAGUGUUGCCUAUGUUGGGGGUGAUGAAUUGCCAAAGCAGUGUGAAGGAUCGGAGGCCCAGCUUAAGGCCUGCGUCCUUCCCGUCCUUCCCGUUGAGACAUGCAGAGGUGCAGGUGAGGGGUGGCUAGGCUGGCUGGCUCUUGUCCUCUUUCUGUCCUCCCCAGGGAAGUGAGAGCCCAGGGGCUUUUUCUCUGGGAUGGAUGAGGGCUGCAAAGGCAGCAAGAACCUGUAGGCGGGAAUUGAUUGUCUUGCCCGCUUUAGGCGAAUGGUGGAGCCCGCUUGGUGGAGGGGUGGAAUGCAGGGCUGUCGGCCAGUGCCCUGAGGCUCUGCACUGUGAAUGGUGUUAGAGGGACCAGAGGCCUGGUGUGUGUGUGUGUGUGUGUGUGUGUGUGUGUGUGUGUGUGUGUGUGUAGGUCUUGCCAAAGCCAGUUUGUAGACAGGUGUUGGAUAGGUCUGUGGGUUGGGGGAAGGCAGCAAUGCCCCAGGGUCUCAAACCAUCCACUGACUUGGUGCCUGCUUCUCUAGCAGUCUGGAGGCCUGGGAAGAACAGGUGCAGGUUAGACCUCCUAGCCCCUCCUAGUCCUGCAGUUUCCACACUCCCAGCCCCCUACCUGGGCAGUGCUAGGGGCAGAGAACCAAGAGGCUAGGUUAAGGGUAGAGUGAGCGCCCUCCCCAGAGGGCGGCACUGCCUCAGCUGCGACUGCUUACAGGGUUUCUGUGGGGUGUGAUUAGUCUUCUGUUUUAUUCAAUUAGGAGGCAAUUAGGGGUCCUUGAGGGGAGGGGGCCUGGUACUGGUAAUUAAGGUUAUGUAUAAUUAAGAGUUUCAACAAAAUUAUCCAGGAUUUAAAAAAAAAUCUUUUCAGUAAUUUCGCUUAAAAAUUUCAAAUAGCAUUAAAUACAACUUAACAGGGUUUGAAUCAAAACCCAGUUUUAAGCCUUAGGAUCGGAAGCUCUCUCCUGAGAAGGUGUGGGGGACACUGGUAGCACCUUCCUAGAUCAGGAAAGAACUUCGUGAGAUGGAGGGAAUCUCUCCCUUUCUCUCUCCCUUCCUCUCUCUCUCUCUCUCUCUCUCACCCCACUCUGUCUGUCUCUGUGUCAAUGUCUGUGUUUGUCUGUGUCUCUCUCUGUCUUUCUCUGUCUCUCUCUGUGUCUGUCUCUGUUUUUCUCUGUUCCUCUGUGUGUGUGUUUCUCUCUCUUUCUCUGUGUCUGUCUCUGUUUUUCUCUGUUCCUCUGUGUGUGUGUUUCUCUCUCUUUCUCUCUCUCUCUCUCUCUCUCUCUCUCUCUCUCUCUCUCUCUCUCUCUCUCUGCUUUGCUGAAGGCAGCCUGGGCAGACACCUGCCUAGGCGACCCCCAGCUUCUCCCAGCUCCUUUCCCAAAGUCAGAGACAACAAUGGGGCAGCAGUAGUUAGGACAUGUCCAUACUGCAUCAGCUUGUGACUCUGACCCGGUGACCCGGUGACCCGGACGGACGCUACUGCAAUGAAGGUGCCUUUCUACUUGGGGGCCACCUUCUAGCUUCCUGGGUGUUCCUGCCCGAAUUUUCAGACCCCUCCACCUGGUCCAGAAAUCCCCAGUGCAAGGUAUUGUCCCUUUACUUGUCCCCAACUUGGGAUUUCCAGAGUACACACAGGUGUGCCUGCCCAUCCUGGGAAGGGAAGGCGAUCCCAGAAACCAAGGAGGAGGGUAUCCUGCAUUGCGAGUCGCUCUGCCCCUGUUCUGUAUGGCAGCAGCCUUGGAAGAGACCCUCAAAGUGCCUUUGGGUGUUCUUUAGCCCUCCUGGGUAGGUGUGAACUGGCCGCUGGUCAGCAUCCAGCAGCAUCCGGCAGCAUCCCCUCCACUGGCCCAGGGAAGGGAAGGAAGGAGUGUGGAACCUUAGACCCCCCUCCUCCAGCUGUUAGGUUAGAGAGCCUAGACAGGUGCAGUAACUCAUUCCGUUGCAAUCCAGUUCAAGACCUUCAGGGUUUCUUGGUCUGGUACUGCAGACUAUAGUUAAUUCUGUAGUGUUUUAGUUAGUUAAUUAAUUAAUCAAUUAAUUAAUUUAAUGUGUCAGGGUUAAAGUAUUUCAAGACCAGUGCUUACCAUGGUCUAUUCGUAAAGGACAGGUAGAUUCCACGCAUUAUAACCUGUGAAUUAAGCCGUCUGGCUUAUCCCCCACUUGUCUGCAGAUUGGAAUUCUAUUUGCUCAGGGCUGGACUCUUUCCCCCUCCAGGAAGUGAUAACACAGCUUCUCCUCCUCUCGCUGUGGGUACCCUCUCCAAAGGCAGAUUCUAGGUAGCCAGUAUUGACCAGGAAUGGGCCUUGUCUACCCCCUCUCCUCUUCUGCCAAGCACAAGUACAAAAACCUCACACAGAGAAGUGGGGGCUGCCUACUUACCCUAUCCCCAAACUAUCAGGGAAAAAAAUCCACCUGUCUUUCUCAGGAAACUAGGGAGAUGCAGUGCCCAUACUGCUCCUGCUCCCCAGUAGAUCCAAGCUGCAGGUCUAUGCAGCAUCUCUGAUAUUGGCCGUUGUUCCUCAUGGCCAGAGCCACUGUGACCAUCCUGCACCCAGAGUGCCCUCCACCCAAGUGGCCCUGAAGCAAGGAAUGGGUGGUCUCUCCCUGUUCUGACCACUCCCUGUUCUCAGAUCCUGUACUCUCUAGAGGUGCCUCUCACGAGAAAGAGGAACAAUGAAUGCCAUGAGCAAGCUGAAGAUAGGAGUGCUGGCCACUUGAGAUACAUAUUUGUUUAAUAGUUAACAUUUUGUGUAAAAAAAAAGGGGGGGGAAGGGAAGGCAGAUUCUGGUGAAGUGAAAGCUUUGCUUAUUUUAUAUCCACUAUAACUAUUUCUGUCCGUGAAAAUUGGCUUAAUUAUAUCAAUGGAAUGUUUCUUUUUAAAUUCUGUAUGCAAUUAGUCCAUCUUGCCGGCUGCAAUUUAUUUUAAUAAAAAAAUAAACCAGU
Molecule: long non-coding RNA, 5677 nt
Organism: Mus musculus (house mouse)
Lineage: Eukaryota; Metazoa; Chordata; Mammalia; Rodentia; Muridae
Product: RIKEN cDNA 5930403L14 gene
Exons: 1
Source: RefSeq, marked validated